RNAcentral lists this ribosomal RNA (1062 nucleotides) under Enterococcus faecium. RNAcentral's name for it is "bacterial SSU rRNA". It matches the Rfam family "Bacterial small subunit ribosomal RNA", at positions 173 to 1226 of the family's 1533-position model. The record is from RNAcentral. Lineage: Bacteria; Bacillati; Bacillota; Bacilli; Lactobacillales; Enterococcaceae.
CAAUCAAAACCGCAUGGUUUUGAUUUGAAAGGCGCUUUCGGGUGUCGCUGAUGGAUGGACCCGCGGUGCAUUAGCUAGUUGGUGAGGUAACGGCUCACCAAGGCCACGAUGCAUAGCCGACCUGAGAGGGUGAUCGGCCACAUUGGGACUGAGACACGGCCCAAACUCCUACGGGAGGCAGCAGUAGGGAAUCUUCGGCAAUGGACGAAAGUCUGACCGAGCAACGCCGCGUGAGUGAAGAAGGUUUUCGGAUCGUAAAACUCUGUUGUUAGAGAAGAACAAGGAUGAGAGUAACUGUUCAUCCCUUGACGGUAUCUAACCAGAAAGCCACGGCUAACUACGUGCCAGCAGCCGCGGUAAUACGUAGGUGGCAAGCGUUGUCCGGAUUUAUUGGGCGUAAAGCGAGCGCAGGCGGUUUCUUAAGUCUGAUGUGAAAGCCCCCGGCUCAACCGGGGAGGGUCAUUGGAAACUGGGAGACUUGAGUGCAGAAGAGGAGAGUGGAAUUCCAUGUGUAGCGGUGAAAUGCGUAGAUAUAUGGAGGAACACCAGUGGCGAAGGCGGCUCUCUGGUCUGUAACUGACGCUGAGGCUCGAAAGCGUGGGGAGCAAACAGGAUUAGAUACCCUGGUAGUCCACGCCGUAAACGAUGAGUGCUAAGUGUUGGAGGGUUUCCGCCCUUCAGUGCUGCAGCUAACGCAUUAAGCACUCCGCCUGGGGAGUACGACCGCAAGGUUGAAACUCAAAGGAAUUGACGGGGGCCCGCACAAGCGGUGGAGCAUGUGGUUUAAUUCGAAGCAACGCGAAGAACCUUACCAGGUCUUGACAUCCUUUGACCACUCUAGAGAUAGAGCUUCCCCUUCGGGGGCAAAGUGACAGGUGGUGCAUGGUUGUCGUCAGCUCGUGUCGUGAGAUGUUGGGUUAAGUCCCGCAACGAGCGCAACCCUUAUUGUUAGUUGCCAUCAUUCAGUUGGGCACUCUAGCAAGACUGCCGGUGACAAACCGGAGGAAGGUGGGGAUGACGUCAAAUCAUCAUGCCCCUUAUGACCUGGGCUACACACGUGCU